This 73-nucleotide transfer RNA is filed under the name Myoviridae sp. ctj3P51. Its description in RNAcentral is "tRNA-Phe". It matches the Rfam family "tRNA". Rfam says of the family: Transfer RNA (tRNA) molecules are approximately 80 nucleotides in length. Their secondary structure includes four short double-helical elements and three loops (D, anti-codon, and T loops). The record is from RNAcentral. Lineage: Duplodnaviria; Heunggongvirae; Uroviricota; Caudoviricetes.
GCUUCGGUAGCUCAGUUGGUAGAGCAGAGGACUGAAAAUUCUCGUGUCGGCGGUUCGAAACCGUCCUGAAGCA